RNAcentral lists this non-coding RNA (26 nucleotides) under Mus musculus (house mouse). The record is from RNAcentral. Lineage: Eukaryota; Metazoa; Chordata; Mammalia; Rodentia; Muridae.
UGCUUGUUGCCUGAGCUGACUGACGA